CCUACGGGGGGCAGCAGUGAGGAAUAUUGGUCAAUGGACGCAAGUCUGAACCAGCCAAGUAGCGUGCAGGAUGACGGCUCUCCGGGUUGUAAACUGCUUUUAGUUGGGAAUAAAAGGGGGCUCGUGAGCCCCGUAUUGUAUGUACCAUCAAAAAAGGGACCGGCUAAUUCCGUGCCAGCAGCCGCGGUAAUUCGGAAGGUGCGGGCGUUAUCCGGAUUUAUUGGGUUUAAAGGGAGCGUAGGCAGGCGUUUAAGUCAGCUGUGAAAGUCCGGGGCCAAACCGUGGAAUUGCAGUUGAAACUGGAGGACUAGAGUGAAGACAGGGAGGCCGGAAUUCAUGGUGUAGCGGUGAAAUGCUUAGAGAUCAUGAAGAACACCGAUCGCGAAGGCAAGUGUCCGGGGUGCAACUGACGCUGAGGCACGAAAGUGCGGGGAUCAAACGGGAUUAGAUACCCGGGUAGUC
This 462-nucleotide ribosomal RNA is filed under the name uncultured bacterium. RNAcentral describes it as "partial 16S ribosomal RNA". It matches the Rfam family "Bacterial small subunit ribosomal RNA", at positions 338 to 795 of the family's 1533-position model. The record is from RNAcentral.